GAUUCAAAAACACCAGAGGACCACGACCAGGACACCAUGAGCCCCCAUUCCUACACCAGUGCCUCACAUGCUCUCUCCCCAAUGCCUCCGUUUCUCCAGAAAAGCUAGAGGAACCUUUUCCUCAUCCCCUUCGAAGGAAAAGAUGAGUGAGGAUCUCCGCGUUGGAGGAAGAGGGAGUCGAAAGAGGCUUCCACUCUUUGAAAAAGGCUUCCAUGCUUCUCUGUGACAUCCCCCAAAAACAGGCAGAGUCUAAGAUGUGCAUGUACCCACUCAAGCCUCAAGCUUGUAUCUGUAUCCAUAUCCAGGGACAUGAACAAGAACUGAGGUAGCCAUUGGUUUAACUUAGAGCACUCUCAAAGUUCAGAUCAGCGUUAUGUGUGUGCAUGAGUGUGGUGGGGAGAUUUUCCCCUAGGACAAAGAGACUUUCCCUCCCAUUUUUGCCAUUGUGCUAGUUAAAAAAGAAAAAAGAAAAAAAAAAAAAAAAGAAUCCCUGACAAGGAAGAAUUCCCUGAAGAUGGUAGGGGUGGAAAUAAUGACCACUGAGAUGAUAUUCCAUUUCUGGCUGCUGGGGGAAAAUGUUUUUAAAAUUUAUUUUAUUUUGAGGAGACCAAGAUAGUCUGAAGUUUAGAGUGUUGUAAUUUACUAUGGGGAGAGGGCACAAGACUCUGAGCCCCAAGCAAUUGGUGGGAAACUAGGCCUCAAAGCAGAAAAUGAAAAGUCGAUCUGGGGGAAGAUUUUUAAAUAAGUGGGUCAGACGGAUGGAGAGGAGAUGAGGCGAUCAAUCUUAGCCCCCUGACAGCUCCCUCCGAUUGCAUCAAAGAAUUUGGCUCUUUGGGAAAGCAGAGCGAACAGCCAAAAUUUCACAUCCCUUAAAAAGGCCUGGGGGUGGGGGUGGGGGUGCAAAAGAGAAGGGUGAUUCUGGGAGAGCUGGGAAACAGAUGGGAAAUGGGGACAGAGGGAAAGCGCUAAGUUGGGUGGAAAGUUUGCCUGGAGAACUCCCAUGGCUUUGGCCUCCCCUCCCCCUCCUCUCUCUCUGCUGCCCAGCCAGGAGGAGAAGGCUGGUUAGCAGAGAAAUGGCAACUGAGCCCGGAGCUGGAACUAGAAACUUUCUGUCAGUGUAACAUCUGCACCCAAUGGUGGUUGGGCUUCGGGUCACGUGACACCUUCUUUGUGGCUCCGGAAGAGGAUUGUGAAGUUUAGGUUUCGUGGAAGAAACCGUAAUCGGCCAGAUUUUCUUGGUGGUGGUGGGAAGGGGUGGGGGGUGGGGGGUGCAUGGACGCUGUGGCCAAAGGAGCUAACAGACGAAAGGUCAAUGAAUGAAAAACCUAGAGGCAUACAGGCCAAACAGAAAAACCUACAGAGAGCAUCCAAGAGUCCCCCGUUACCUCCCAACUUGCUACUUAAACCACAGCUGAAGAAGUUGGCAAAAUGUUACAGGCUCUUAUGAGUGAGAAAAUGGUAUUUAAACUUAAGACAUAUCAAGGGGGAGACAGGAACCUGGGCAGUGGACAAAAAGGCCAGGGAAGGGUCUUCAGUGUCCUUGUCCUUGUCCUUCUUCCCUUGGGGGAAAUUUGGCAGUCAGCAGCCUUGCUCUGCUAUCUAAAUUGGACCACCAGGACAAGAUAAAAUUGAUAACAGAAAGUUUAUUCAAGAAUUGUUUGACAGACAACCCUUUUAGGUAAGGAAAAAAGUAACUACUGAAGAACAAAGAAAGUUCCAAGAGGGAAUUAACUCUAGUUCUACAAAUUCAGGACUAUACAGUGACGAUUAGGAGCUGAGUUCAUGCCUUUUAGAACUAAUUACAAUUGUUCGUAAGUACGAGUUUAACAUAAAUCUACAGCUCUUUUCU
This 1849-nucleotide long non-coding RNA is filed under the name Homo sapiens (human). RNAcentral's name for it is "HSALNT0390376". The record is from RNAcentral. Lineage: Eukaryota; Metazoa; Chordata; Mammalia; Primates; Hominidae.